CGGAUCACGAGGUCAGGAGAUUGGGACCAACCUGGCAAACAGGGUGAAACCCUGUCUCUACUAAAAAUACAAAAUACAAAAAAAAUCAGCCUGGCAUGGUGGCGGGCGCCUGUGGUCCCAGCUACUCUGGAGGCUGACGCAGGAGAAUGCCGUGAACCCGGGAGGCGGAGCUUGCAGAGAGCCGGAGAUCACGCCACUGCACUCCAGCCUGGGCUACAGAGCAAGACUCCGUCUCAAAAAAAACCAAAACAAAACAAAACAAAAAAAACACCCAGUUUUUCCAUGGAGUGAUAGAAUUUAAUUGAUGAGCUUGACGAGCUUAAUUACAGAAGGGAGAGCUCCAAAAUACAUGUCAUCACUAAGCAAGUUCUUCCCACUCAUGGAUUCUAGAGGAGUUCACCCAUGUCCAGAGAAAGUUUGCAGAUCCAGCAUUUGUGAAAAUCACAGAAGAUCAUAUGAGAAGGCACCAUUUUAAUGAAAGAACAAGAAACCUGAAAUUCAAUAACAAAGCCUGAAGGCUAGAAAAGGUUAUGAAAUAGCCCAUGAUAAGCACAGGUGGAAAAUUGACACAAAGAGUUUUCUGCUAUGCCAAAUAAAUUUUGUUGUCUUUGUGUGUGUGUAUGCUGCGUAUCUUAAAACCAUAACAUUUUCACUGACAUUGAAUCAUCCUCCUCAGUAACUGAGGGAAACUUCCUUGGGAACCCACCUUAAAUUUUACCAUCUUUGGCAGCUUUUGAAAUGACUCUAUCUUCAAAUUCUUGAAUUUCCACAUUCUCUUCUCUGACUUUACCUUUGAUUAUUUUGCUCUCAGUAAAUCUGCAUCUCAGUCUUCCUCUUCUCAGUUCUAUCCUAGUGUACCAGCCCAUUAACCCCUGUUUGAUUUUAUUUGGCUCUCUUCCUCCAUGGGGCUACACGUAAGCCUCAUGCUCAUUGUAGUCCCUGUCUCUCUUCAACACUGGUAUCUUACCACCUCUCCAUAACUUCCCACUAUUUCUUUCUUGCCAAUCAUCAACCCUGUGUAAUAUCUACUGUCUUAUUUUCUUUGACGCUAGAAAUCAAGGCCCUGAUGGUCAAAGGCAUUAAACAAUCUAUGGGUUUGCCAUAAGUGCAUUAUGUGGUUUAUUAUUUUGCAGAUAUUUAAUGUGGUACAUGAUAAAAUGUUACUUUUUCUACUAAUCUUAUUUAUGUAGCCGAAAAUCUAGAAAAAUGUUUUUCUU
This 1217-nucleotide long non-coding RNA is filed under the name Homo sapiens (human). RNAcentral's name for it is "HSALNT0037389". The record is from RNAcentral. Lineage: Eukaryota; Metazoa; Chordata; Mammalia; Primates; Hominidae.